RNAcentral lists this long non-coding RNA (1008 nucleotides) under Phoenix dactylifera (date palm). Its description in RNAcentral is "long non-coding RNA (PDAC_LNC009141)". Lineage: Eukaryota; Viridiplantae; Streptophyta; Magnoliopsida; Arecales; Arecaceae. The record is from RNAcentral.
GUUACUUUGCUUUUUCUGGCCGUUCUGCACACUCUGCGCAGCCUGACAAUAUGACCGUUGGUGGGUUGGAGUCGACUCGCGCGAUCAGGAGUCGACUCGGCUGUAGCAGGAGUCGACUCACGCUUUUCCGGAGUCGACUCGGCAACUGUUCCAAAUUUGAAUUAAAGUUGCCGUCUUGACUGGGAGUCGACUCGUCUUGACCUGGAGUCGACUCGCCAACUUUUGGAGUUGACCUGGCAAUUUUUGGAGUCGGCUCAUCUACUGAAGUCCGUGGAUCCAAAUUUGAAUUUUGUCCACUCGAGUCGACUCGACUGUCCUGGGAGUCGACUCGAAUCUCAGAGCCCGAACUCUCGAUUCUCUGUCGUUUGGCUCAUCCAGUCUUGGAGUCGACUCGAACCUCCUUGGAGUCGACUCGGCUCUCAGUUUCCGAAAGUUGGUCUUCUGCCUUUUGACGUGUAGCUUGUCUUGGAGUCGACCCGAGCUGUCUGGGAGUCGACUCGAAUCUCAGAGGCAGUAACAUGGUCUUCUGUCUGUUGAUGGUCGCUCAGUCUCGGAGUCGACUCGUGUACUGCGGGAGUCGACUCGAAUCUCAGAGUCCGAAAAUCGUUCUCUGACUUUUUCUGCCUGUGACUGCUUGGAGUCGACUCUUACUUCCCUGGAGUCGACUCGCGCACUUCAGGAGUCGACUCGUUGACAGGUUCUGAGAUGAAGCUUUCUGUUCCUCUUUCUGUUCUCAGUCGGAGUCGACUCGUACUAAUCUGGAGUCGACUCGAGCUCGUGCCAGUGAAUUUGAUACGCUUGGAGUCGACUCGUGAUACUCGGGAGUCGACUCGAGUCUCAGACAUUGGUUCAUGCAGACUUCUUAACUUAUCCAAAAUACUAUGAACCAAGUCUAGAAACACUUGGACAGGAUUUUCACUGAAACACUCAAUUGAAUUCAUUAGUAAUCACAAGAUAUACUCAAUUGCUUUGAGCUCAUCAAAAUCAAAUGGAGUUUUAAUCAAUCAC